GACGAACGCUGGCGGCGUGCUUAACACAUGCAAGUCGAACGGAAAGGCCUCUUUCGGGGGGUACUCGAGUGGCGAACGGGUGAGUAACACGUGAGUAACCUGCCCUUGACUUUGGGAUGACUUCAGGAAACUGGGGCUAAUACCGGAUAGGAGCUCCUGCUGCAUGGUGGGGGUUGGAAAGUUUCGGCGGUUGGGGAUGGACUCGCGGCUUAUCAGCUUGUUGGUGGGGUAGUGGCUUACCAAGGCUUUGACGGGUAGCCGGCCUGAGAGGGUGACCGGCCACAUUGGGACUGAGAUACGGCCCAGACUCCUACGGGAGGCAGCAGUGGGGAAUAUUGCACAAUGGGUGGAAGCCUGAUGCAGCAACGCCGUGUGCGGGAUGACGGCCUUCGGGUUGUAAACCGCUUUCGCUCAUGACGAAGCUUUGUGUGACGGUAGUGGGUAAAGAAGCACCGGCUAACUACGUG
RNAcentral lists this ribosomal RNA (467 nucleotides) under uncultured bacterium. RNAcentral describes it as "partial 16S ribosomal RNA". It matches the Rfam family "Bacterial small subunit ribosomal RNA", at positions 28 to 507 of the family's 1533-position model. The record is from RNAcentral.